CAGCAGUGGGGAAUAUUGCACAAUGGGGGAAACCCUGAUGCAGCGACGCCGCGUGAAGGAAGAAGUAUCUCGGUAUGUAAACUUCUAUCAGCAGGGAAGAAAAUGACGGUACCUGACUAAGAAGCCCCGGCUAACUACGUGCCAGCAGCCGCGGUAAUACGUAGGGGGCAAGCGUUAUCCGGAUUUACUGGGUGUAAAGGGAGCGUAGACGGAAGAGCAAGUCUGAUGUGAAAGGCUGGGGCUUAACCCCAGGACUGCAUUGGAAACUGUUUUUCUAGAGUGCCGGAGAGGUAAGCGGAAUUCCUAGUGUAGCGGUGAAAUGCGUAGAUAUUAGGAGGAACACCAGUGGCGAAGGCGGCUUACUGGACGGUAACUGACGUUGAGGCUCGAAAGCGUGGGGAGCAAACAGGAUUAGAUACCCUGGUAGUCCACGCCGUAAACGA
This 443-nucleotide ribosomal RNA is filed under the name uncultured bacterium. RNAcentral's name for it is "bacterial SSU rRNA". It matches the Rfam family "Bacterial small subunit ribosomal RNA", at positions 349 to 809 of the family's 1533-position model. The record is from RNAcentral.